GGGCCCGUAGCUCAGCCGGUCAGAGCAGCGGACUCAUAAUCCGUCAGACGCAGGUUCGAGUCCUGCCGGGCCCACCA
This 77-nucleotide transfer RNA is filed under the name Acidimicrobiia bacterium. Its description in RNAcentral is "tRNA-Ile". It matches the Rfam family "tRNA". From Rfam's summary of the family: Transfer RNA (tRNA) molecules are approximately 80 nucleotides in length. Their secondary structure includes four short double-helical elements and three loops (D, anti-codon, and T loops). Further hydrogen bonds mediate the characteristic L-shaped molecular structure. tRNAs have two regions of fundamental functional importance: the anti-codon, which is responsible for specific mRNA codon recognition, and the 3' end, to which the tRNAs corresponding amino acid is attached (by aminoacyl-tRNA synthetases). tRNAs cope with the degeneracy of the genetic code in two manners: having more than one tRNA (with a specific anti-codon) for a particular amino acid; and 'wobble' base-pairing, i.e. permitting non-standard base-pairing at the 3rd anti-codon position. Lineage: Bacteria; Bacillati; Actinomycetota; Acidimicrobiia. The record is from RNAcentral.